CUCCUACGGGAGGCAGCAGUGAGGAAUAUUGGUCAAUGGACGAGAGUCUGAACCAGCCAAGUAGCGUGAAGGAUGACUGCCCUAUGGGUUGUAAACUUCUUUUAUACGGGAAUAAAGUGAGGCACGUGUGCCUUUUUGUAUGUACCGUAUGAAUAAGGAUCGGCUAACUCCGUGCCAGCAGCCGCGGUAAUACGGAGGAUCCGAGCGUUAUCCGGAUUUAUUGGGUUUAAAGGGAGCGUAGGCGGACGCUUAAGUCAGUUGUGAAAGUUUGCGGCUCAACCGUAAAAUUGCAGUUGAUACUGGGUGUCUUGAGUACAGUAGAGGCAGGCGGAAUUCGUGGUGUAGCGGUGAAAUGCUUAGAUAUCACGAAGAACUCCGAUUGCGAAGGCAGCUUGCUGGACUGUAACUGACGCUGAUGCUCGAAAGUGUGGGUAUCAAACAGGAUUAGAUACCCUGGUAGUCCACACAGUAAACGAUGAAUACUCGCUGUUUGCGAUAUACAGUAAGCGGCCAAGCGAAAGCGUUAAGUAUUCCACCUGGGGAGUACGCCGGCAACGGUGAAACUCAAAGGAAUUGACGGGGGCCCGCACAAGCGGAGGAACAUGUGGUUUAAUUCGAUGAUACGCGAGGAACCUUACCCGGGCUUGAAUUGCAACUGAAUGAUGUGGAGACAUGUCAGCCGCAAGGCAGUUGUGAAGGUGCUGCAUGGUUGUCGUCAGCUCGUGCCGUGAGGUGUCGGCUUAAGUGCCAUAACGAGCGCAACCCUUAUCGAUAGUUACCAUCAGGUUAUGCUGGGGACUCUGUCGAUACUGCCGUCGUAAGAUGUGAGGAAGGUGGGGAUGACGUCAAAUCAGCACGGCCCUUACGUCCGGGGCUACACACGUGUUACAAUGGGGGGUACAGAAGGCAGCUACACGGCGACGUGAUGCUAAUCCCUAAAGCCUCUCUCAGUUCGGAUUGGAGUCUGCAACCCGACUCCAUGAAGCUGGAUUCGCUAGUAAUCGCGCAUCAGCCACGGCGCGGUGAAUACGUUCCCGGGCCUUGUACACACCGC
RNAcentral lists this ribosomal RNA (1054 nucleotides) under uncultured bacterium. RNAcentral's name for it is "bacterial SSU rRNA". It matches the Rfam family "Bacterial small subunit ribosomal RNA", at positions 336 to 1393 of the family's 1533-position model. The record is from RNAcentral.